This 430-nucleotide ribosomal RNA is filed under the name Acidobacteriota bacterium. Its description in RNAcentral is "Acidobacteria bacterium partial 16S ribosomal RNA". It matches the Rfam family "Bacterial small subunit ribosomal RNA", at positions 355 to 776 of the family's 1533-position model. The record is from RNAcentral. Lineage: Bacteria; Pseudomonadati; Acidobacteriota.
UGGGGAAUAUUGGACAAUGGGGGGAACCCUGAUCCAGCCAUGCCGCGUGUGUGAAGAAGGCCUUAUGGUUGUAAAGCACUUUAAGCGAGGAGGAGGCUCUCUUGGUUAAUACCCAAGAAGAGUGGACGUUACUCGCAGAAUAAGCACCGGCUAACUCUGUGCCAGCAGCCGCGGUAAUACAGAGGGUGCGAGCGUUAAUCGGAUUUACUGGGCGUAAAGCGUGCGUAGGCGGCUUUUUAAGUCGGAUGUGAAAUCCCCGAGCUUAACUUGGGAAUUGCAUUCGAUACUGGGAAGCUAGAGUAUGGGAGAGGAUGGUAGAAUUCCAGGUGUAGCGGUGAAAUGCGUAGAGAUCUGGAGGAAUACCGAUGGCGAAGGCAGCCAUCUGGCCUAAUACUGACGCUGAGGUACGAAAGCAUGGGGAGUAAACAGG